CGGCCGCGGAGCUGCAGUGGCGGGGAGUGGGGUGCGGAUCUUGUGUUUGCGCACGCAGUCGCCGGCCACCUCAGGCCGGAGCUAGAGAUACGGCUCGGGAUAGGAGGGCCCGGCGGCUCUGAGGCAGGUUCGCCUCGAGCCGCACGGCCCGGAGCAGCGGCUCCGCGGUGGUCCCCGGGGCUUGAGAGGGGUGCGGGCCUGGGAGCCCCUGAGGGCCUGAUUUACGGAACUCCCCCUCCUUCCUCCUUUCUGCCGUUCCCUGCUCUGUGGCGGAUGCGCAGGGAUCAGUAGGGACGGCAGCAGUAGGGCCACUCGGGCCUGCCCCGCUUCCCGCAUUGCCCGGUUUGGCGCGCCGCCUCCGGGCCUUGGCAAAGCCCCAGCGCCCGAUUGUCACUGACCAGUGCUUGGAAGUCCUUUACCGACUGCCCGUCAGCGUCCCGCGGAGAGGAUUUUGCGUCUCCAAAGACGCCCCUCUUCCGAAAACAGGCUCCUCUGUGUUCUCAGUCGGGUAUAUUUUUCUGUCUCCAAACUAGAUUGGCAGCCGUUUUUUGAGAGCAGGUACUGACUGUGCUUUAUUUCUAGAUACUUUUCUUAGUCACACCACGGAAAACACUAGGUGGAACCUUUUUUAAAAUUAUUUUUUACAGGUGAGGCUCUCAGUCUGUCGCCCAGGCUGGAGUGCAGUGGUGCUAUCACGGCUCACUGCAACCUCGGCCUCCUGGGCGCAAGCGAUCCUCCCGCCUCAGCCUCCGGAGUAGCUGGGACCACAGGCUCGCACUACUAUGCCCAGCUAAUUUUUAAAUUUUUCGUAGAGAUGGGGGUCUUGCUUUGUCGUCCAGGCUGGAGUGCAGUGGUGUGAUCGUAGCUCACUGCAACCUUAGUCCCCUGUGCCCAAGUGACCCUGCUUCCUCAGCCUCCUGAGUAGCUGAGAUUCAUUUUAAUUUUUAUAGUGAUGGGGUCUCGUUGUGUUGACCAGUCUGGUCUAAAACUCCUGAGUUCAAGCAGGCCUCCUGCCUCAGCUUCUCAAAAUGUUGGGAUUACAGGCUUUAGCCACUGCAGCGGGCCCAUCAAACGUUGUAUUUGUCAGUACAUAAUUUACAUGUUAAUUGAUUUUUGUUAAAGGGAUGGCCAUCUGGGACCUCCACCCGUGAAAAGGCGGCUCAUUGGUCUGACUCCAACACUAAAUUACGCCAUCCAGGAAGCCUUUCCUAGUCACCUCUGUUGGAGAUCGUCCUCCUUUGUGUGUCGGUUGUUAGUAAAGAGCACACGUUCUGUGGAAAGAUGUUGAGGUAUCUGCUGGAUGGCUUUGAUAGAAACAAAUGUCAGCUGUUUUUUCAGAUGGCAUUUGUCUUGUUUCAGCCUGGUUGUUGGUAGCUUUUCUGUCGCCUGGCUUGAGGGCAAGGACUGUAUGUUUAUUUUUCACGUUAAGAUGCCUUUAUGUGCAUGUGUCUGUUUCAUGAAUACAUAGGUGAAUUGAGUUCCCCUUAAAUAGGAUUUCCCUCUUAUUUUAUAGGUUUUUUUUUUUCUCUCAAGUUGUUUCACUCUGGGGGAAAUGUGACCAUUGUGAAAUAUCAUCGCUUAGUUAAAAAGAAAGUAGAAUUCAGCAGUAGCUGCUUUUUUUAAUACUAUGAAAAGACAUUCCUAAGCAAGAUGAAGCUUUGAGACUUUUCCUAAGUAGGACCUACUGCUGAGAGUAAGUCUUGGGGAGAAUAAGCCAAUUAAGAAUGAGUCUUUGGUUCUGAUAAAGUAACCAUGGAGGUGAUGGAUAAUGAGUGUAGGUCCUUGCUCACACUUCUGGCCAUAUGAGCCCGGAGCCAGGGAGGUACUAUAAAAGGAAUGGGCUCCUGUAAUGGACUGUGACUGCAGUGGUGGUAUAUAGCAAGACUUCCGGUUUGCAGUAGGUUUAGAAGCCUAAAUAGUCUCCCUGGUUGUCUCUGCCAGGGCCACAAAUAGUUGUGCUGUGCAUCUCAAAAGUGUGGUCUGGGGAUCUGCAGCGUCACUGUCACCAUCACUUGGGAGGUUGUUAAGAAAUGCAUGUUAUCAGGCCCUACCCCACGCCUACUCAAUUUAGAAUCUGUAGGGCUAGGGGACCACUAAUCUUUAAGAAGUUGAUAUGGUUAGGCUUUAUGUCCACACCCAAAUCUCAUCUUGAAUUGUAAUUCCCAUAAUCCCCACCUUUCAAGGGAGAGACCAGGUGGAGGUAAUUGAAUUAUGGAGGCAGCUUCCCCCAUGCUGUUCUCAUGAUAGUGAGUUCUCACAAGAUGUGAUGGUUUUAUAAGGGGAUCUUGCCUCUUCGCUCAGCACUUCUUCCUGCCUCCUUGUGAGGAAAGUGCCUUGCUUCCCCCUUUGCCUUCUGCCAUGUUUGUAAGUUUUCUGAGGCUUCCCCAGCCAUGCUGAACUGUGAGUCAAUUAAACUUCUUUCCUUUAUAAAUUACCCAGUCUUGGGCAUUCUUUGUAGCAGUAUCCUUUAUAGCAGUAUGUAUAGCUGUAUGGACUAGUACAGAAGUUUUCCAGAUAAUUCUGUGCUCGGAAAAGUUUGGGAACCACAGCAGAACCUUGUUACUCAACAUGUGGUCUGUGGGCUGUGCAGCAUGGGCAUCACCUGGGGUCUUCUGAGAAAAGCCAGGUCUCAGGUCCUACCCAAGACCUGUGUAGCCAAAAUCUGCAUUUUAAUAUGACCCCCAGGUCAUUUAUGUGUACAUCACACUUUGAGAAGCACUGCACCAGAAAUCUUUUAACACUGUUCAUUACAUCCAUCCCAUGGAAGUAUCUUGUCUUGGGAUCCCGAGGGUGUGAGUUCUUCCGUCUUACUGGCUUUUUCCUGUCUGAUACAUGAUGUCCAUUUUAAAAAUUUUAUUUAUUUUAACUUUUUGAGGUAGAGUCUAACUUUGUCACCCAGGCUGGUGUGCAGUGGGGUGAUUUCGGCUCACUGCAACCUCCGUCUCCCGGAUUGAAACGAUUCUCCUGUCUCAGCCUCCUGAGUAGCUGGCAUCACGUGCUGGCCACCACGCCCGGUUAAUUUUUGUAUGUUUAGUAGAGACAGAGCUUCACCAUGUUGGCCAGGCUGGUCUCAAACUUCUGAUCUCAAGUCAUCCACCUGCCUUGGCCUCCCAAAGUGCUGGGAUUACAGGUGUCCUCCACUGCGCCCAGCCCAGUGUUCAUUUUUCAAUUGUUUGACUUAGUAUAAACACUCUCCAUCAUUCCUGCCUUCUGUGACAACAGACUGUGCGUGUUUCCUCUGUCUACCUUUCAGGCAUUCCUUUUAAGUUUCAUGCAGCUACUCCUCCUCCCUCCUCCCUUCUCUUUCUCUUCUUUCUUCUUUUCUUCUUUCUUCCUCUUCCUUCUUCUUCCUCUUCCUCCUGUUCUUCCUCCUCCUCCUCUCUUCUUUCUUCUUCUCCUCCCUUCUCCCUUUUUGGAAAGAGGACUUACUGUGUCAUCCAGCCUAGAGUGCAGUGGCUGAAUCAUGGCUCAGUGCAGCCUUGCUCUCAAAGGCUCAAGCAAUCCUCCCAUCUCAUCUUCCAGAAUAGCUAGGUUACAGGCAUGCACCACCAUGCCUGACUAAUUUUUUAAAAAUUUUUUUGUAAAGAUUGGGGGUGGCAGGGGGUCUCUCUGUUGCCCAGGCUGGUCUCAAACUCCUGGGCUGCAGCGAUCCUCUUGCCUCAGCCUUCCAAAUUGUUGGGAUUACAGGCAUGAGCCACCAUGCCUGGCCUCCUCUUCCUCUUAAAAAUCAAUGAUUCUGUGGCCCGUGGAUCUGAUUUCCACUGAUACUCUGAUAACUCCUGUUUUUAUGUCCAGGUGUAUCUCCUGGUCUCCAGGUGCCAUAUGUCCACUGCCUAUUGGACAUUUCCAUGUGUGUAAACACCUCAAACUCAACAUGUUAAACCUUUUUCUAAUCCCCACACUUGCGGUUCCUUCUGUGUGCUCCAUUUACCUUAUUGCUCAAAUCAAGAGCCUAGAAGCCAUCCUUGAUUCCUCUCUAUUGUGUAAUCCACACAUCCAAUCAUCCAUUGAGUCCUGUUGGCAUUUAUCUCGUAAAUAC
Molecule: long non-coding RNA, 4039 nt
Filed under: Homo sapiens (human)
Lineage: Eukaryota; Metazoa; Chordata; Mammalia; Primates; Hominidae
Description: non-protein coding lnc-ANKRD27-2:7
Source: RNAcentral